GACAUAAAAUGAGUAGCCUAUUCUUGCGGCGAACGUGACGUCACUUUAACUAACUAAACGGCUACCAUUAUGGUAUGGGGGCAAACAAAGCGCUUGAAAAUGAAGAAAUGUGUUUUUGAUUGUUCAAUUAAUGUUAAUAGUCAUCCGAACUUGAUUUGUUAUAUUUUGCUUCCUGAUCCAAAGAGAAGAAAAUCGUGGCUUUAUGCUUUAUAUAAAACUGAUUCAUCUUGCAAAAACAAACUUUGGUCGCAAAACAUGUCUAAGUAUGCUCAAAACAUUUUGUAUCUGAAUAUUAUGUACAAAUAAGUCAUUGCAAUAAAUCUCAAGUUAUUAAAGUCAGUGAACAAAUAAGUACUGACAAUUCGUUGACUGAAGUGGAAGAUGUUAGUGUCUUGAACCAACAUGAAACAACAAGUUAACUUAGCUGAGAAUGAUGGUAGUUUAAAAAUAAUGCAGCAUUGGCUAGGAUUGUUCCUAGGUCACAAAAACAAUCUUACAAAUAGAGUUUCUGCUGUUGUUACUGGUUUUAGAGAGUACCUUUGUGAAUGAAGAUAAAAAGUUAUUUAUGUUAUUUUUUAAAAGCCAAGACAUAAUAUUGUUAAUCCUCAUACCAUUUACUAAAAAGCUU
This is a long non-coding RNA of Hydra vulgaris (swiftwater hydra), 628 nucleotides long. RefSeq lists it as uncharacterized. The record is from RefSeq and is a predicted model, not a curated record. NCBI's taxonomy places the organism in Eukaryota, Metazoa, Cnidaria, Hydrozoa, Anthoathecata, Hydridae.